Molecule: long non-coding RNA, 590 nt
Organism: Frieseomelitta varia
Lineage: Eukaryota; Metazoa; Arthropoda; Insecta; Hymenoptera; Apidae
Exons: 3
Source: RefSeq, a predicted model, not a curated record
CGCGGCGAGCGCGAGCGUUAAUCGAUGAACGUUUAAUCGAUCGAUCCUUUCUGUCUCUUGUUUCAGGUGAGUACACGACCAUCGCUAACACGACAACGAUGCCAACCGAAAUCACGGGGAAACGUUUGGGAUCGUCGCGUGAGUACUCUGGUGCAACAAACUCUCCACCGCUUCUAGACUCUAGACGAACAACGCCGUCGGUUUGCGACUUUGCUCGAUUCUUCGAUAGGUACGUGAGUCGUCGUCAAGUUGAUACAGUUGAAACGGUGACGAUUAAUAACAAAGGGGGCCAGAGUGAUAGAGACAGAGUGAGAGAGAGAGAGAGAGAGAGAGAGAUUUCUCGGUCGCUCGAUACUGAAACAACCAGAGAAAUUUCAAGCUAGUUACAUUUUUAAUCGCCGUACCUUUCUGUAUCUCGCGGCUGUUCAACUAUUCACGAGGAGCGUUCGAAUUCGCGGCAGAAAAUCUUAAAAUAUGUUAUACUUGCCGCGGGCAUCGGUCAAAGGUCGCGAACAACUUUCCACCAUAUUAACCCGUUUUUCUUCAUCGCGUCCUCGUUUCCACCUUCGCUCCUCUCCGGCUUUCCCCUC